RNAcentral lists this ribosomal RNA (253 nucleotides) under uncultured bacterium. RNAcentral describes it as "partial 16S ribosomal RNA". It matches the Rfam family "Bacterial small subunit ribosomal RNA", at positions 524 to 776 of the family's 1533-position model. The record is from RNAcentral.
UACGUAGGGGGCUAGCGUUGUCCGGAAUCAUUGGGCGUAAAGCGCGUGUAGGCGGUCCGGUAAGUCCGCUGUGAAAGUCGGGGGCCCAACCCUCGGAUGCCGGUGGAUACUGUCGGGCUUGAGUACGGAAGAGGCGAGUGGAAUUCCUGGUGUAGCGGUGAAAUGCGCAGAUAUCAGGGGGAACACCAAUUGCGAAGGCAGCUCGCUGGGACGUUACUGACGCUGAGACGCGAAAGCGUGGGGAGCAAACAGG